GAUAUCUUGUUUAGGCGAGUCUAUACCGUUUGAAGAUUUGUUUAGGGUUCUUGUAUCAACGACGCGCAUACAUGCGUAUAUACUAACAGUGAAUAACCGCUAUGUAUACAGAUAAUUGAACCUCGCUAUUGGAAACAUGGGUUGUAUGCAUGUGCAGUGAGUGUCGUCCCAGAUUGACAUGGGUGGUCCGCAAUUCGGCACCAACUCCCAGGAACGGCACUUUCCGCCUACACUGGAUUUUCGCUCAAGAGACACUUUAUUAUAACGAAAUAUAAAAUAAAAGCGGAAAGUUCCCUGCCUUCCAGCUUGUGCGGACUACACUGGUUAAUCUGGUCACUACUGAGAUCGUUCGGCAACAAGGACGAAGCGUUCGCCGCCAUUACGGAUCUUCAGUAGAAGCACGAUAUGCUGCGUCUCCGGACAAAGGGCUCCACCCCGGGGAAGCCGGCGACCCGACGGCAACGUCCUCGUCGGCGCUCCUGUAUACCACGAUCGCUCGGAAACUGUUACUGGCUAUGGCUUAGCAACUGUACAGCAUGGGCCUUUUUCCAGGCGUAUCCACCGGUCUAAAUCUUACGUCGCAAUGUAGGGAGACUCGCACAAACGUUUAUAAAUCAAACUGUUUAGGUGACAAUUCGUACCGAAAUAUUCAAAAAGGUGCUAAAACGAUCGAGUGGAGCAUUUUUCCCACACGGAUGCAAUACGUUUAACUAUGGCGGAUAGUCAUUUUAGACUGCCAUAUACCCGAAAAUUCCAUUUACGUCGGAAAAUUGUGUAUAUGCAAGAAAGUAACGGCAGUGCUUACAGAAAACGCAAACACGUGGAUGUGGACGCAAGUGGUUCUCUGGACUUGUCUAUGAAGAAACCGUAUUUUGAAACAACCAGUUUGCCACAAAGCAGUACAACAGCGUCUGUUGACCGUCCAUUGGAUUUUUCAGUAAGACGCUUGGCGCAUGAGCGAUUACAUGCGCAUGCGCAUUCUGGUUUCUUACCAUAUACUGGUACUUUCAGCCCAGGAUACUCUCAAGCGCAGGCGAUGUACGAAAAACAGAUACAAUUUCAGCCGCAAAGAUGCACUGUCCGAAAAAUCGUUCCCGUACGUCAGAAGGUGAAAUUUACAUGUAUUUUAAUACAUUGGUUUGACAUAUAUUUCGAUGUCCUUUAGUAUGUCUAAAUAUUUGUUUUGGACAGUGCGUUAUGGAAUUUUAUUCGCCGUAUAUACAUACAACGUUAUUUCACAGUUGUGUCCGUAGAAAUUAUUUCCCGGCUUAUCUUUUUAAAACGUUAAAAGGCAUACUGGUCAUAUGCUGCCCUUUAUGACGUCACAGCACAUCACACGAAAGCUCGGCAUGCGGGUCGGGCCAGUACAUCGAUUGUACUUUUAUUGAUGUUACACAAUAUGUUUGUUAUAAAUAUGCACCCAUGUUCAUCCAUGUAACUGUUCGUUUGCUACCAGGUAGAAAAACGGUUUAGUCUUGUUUAAAGUUCCAUACUUUUCUGACUGUCAUACUUCCUGUUAAAGGGGCCUUUUCACAGAUUUUGGCAUUUUUUAACUUAAUUAUUAAAUGCUUUAUAUUGAUAAAUGUAAACAUUGGAUCGUAAAAGCUCCAGUAAAAAAUCAAGAAUAAAAUUAAAAAAAGGAAAAGAACAUUGCCCGGAGCAGGUUUCGAACCAGUGACCCCUGGAGUCCUGCCAGAGUCCUGAAGUAAAAACGCUCUAGCCUACUGAGCUAUUCCGCCGAGUACACAUGCUUGACGUAUUUUAUACCUUAUAUAAGCAAUCUUCGUAGUUUCACAAAAUUUAACGACAAAAACAGAACUCUCCAAAUUAUUCAAUCGUUUUGCGUUGCAACGCUUUAUAAUUUUUAGGUUUUAAAAUCGUCAAAAGAUGCAUAUGAUGGCUAUAUUAGACCAUUGUAAAUGUUCAGUAUUACUGUUUCCUCACAAAUAUCAUAACUAAAACGAAAAAGUGCGAAUCUGAAACAACUUUUUUCAAUUUUGUCAAUUUACCAAAGCGUGAAAAGAUCCCUUUAAGAUGGAAUAUCAGUAUAACGUUGCCAGCAGCUUGUUUGAUGACGUUUCCGCAAGAAAGCUGUAUAUACAACAUCAGUUAAGCAUAGACAUAUUGAGCGUUGAUGAAUAUUGCUAUUAAAGCCAGUUGAAAAACUGUCUUAUUCACGUAUUAAAAAACAUGAAUUCUUGUUUCGAAAUCGUUGACUGGAUCAUAUGAUCUGUAAUUUUUAGGGAUGUCAACGAAUAUCCGAAUAUCCGAAUAUUCGGUCCCGGGCCGAAUAUUCGGAUACUGUUUUCCGAAUCGAAUAUUCGGAAGAAAAAAUAAAAAAUCGAGUAAUUUCAAAGACUUUGUAUUCGUAAAAUUUGCUUCAAACAUUGUCAAAAAGUUGUUCCCCGUGUCAUAAUGUUUAUUCCGGUUGGCGCGAUAAUGCGUCGCUAUGGUGAUGACAGUAUACCGGUCAUAAAUCCCGCUAACAAAGCCAGACACUUUGUGUCAAAAUUAUGAUAGGUGCAAAUCGCGUCUGCAAUCAAAACACCGACCUGCACUUGAUCCAAUGACUCGAAUUACAUUUAAAAUUAUCAAAGAUUAAAUGAGUAAAGGAAAAGCCAACUUUGUGUAAAAAACAAAUAAGACCGUAUGGCAAUUAAAACACCGACCCGUCUUGAUCUAAUAACUCGAAUUACAUUUAAAAUGAUCAAAGAUUAAAUGAGUAAAGAAAGAGCCGACUUGGUGUGAAAAACAAAACAGAUGGUAUGGUUAUAAUCACGUUGUCCAAUCAAAAAAGCUUUUAGAAAAUAAUUUACUCAACCUCUAAUGAGUAUUUGAGUAUCGUAUGGUUCAAACAUUAAUUUAUUACUCAAUAUUCAAUCAGGUAUUAUACUUAAAGAAAUGUUUUUGGUACUGCACCCUAUUUUAAUUGAAAAUAUUAUAAUUGUUACACGCAUAAAGUAAAUAUCUGUCCAAGCAAAAUGCCACAUACGCCUUCCGCUGCUUGGAAGUAUUUCACGACAUCAUCCGAUAAGAAGUCGCCGAUCCAAGUGUCUUUUAAACGUGGCAACUUUAAAAGACUGACUGUUUAGUCUGUUUAACAGGUUCAAAGUGUGUUGUGGCUAUGUAUAUAAUUCGUUUAAGUUCAGCUUUAAUUAUAUGUAGAUAUAACUGUUUCGUCAUGUAAUUAUUUUGUCGUCAUGUAAUAUUAUAUUUCUCGUUCUAUUGUUGAUGUACGAUAUUAAUAGUUUAAAAACAGUUUUUGUCAUUCAAUUUUAACAAUAAAAACAUAAAAAAGUAAUCAACAAAAUCAGCUUCGAAUUAGCGACGGCAACGCUGUGUCAAUAUUUAGUCACUUCCGGUGAACUUCCGGUAAAAACGAAAGUAGAAUUCAUGGAGUAAUGGUACGGUAAACUAAGUUGACUUUUUUCCAACAGAUGUUGACCGAAUAUCCGAAUAUUCGUUCGGAAGGGUGACCGAAUAUUCGAAUACCGAAAUCGGUAUUCGUUGCCAUCCCUAGUAAUUUUACUCACGUAAACUGUAACCGUUCUAAGCGUUUCAUAUCUAUUGUUCGUUUAGGAAAUCGCGUCAUAGUGACUGUUGUUACCAUUCUAUAAUUUUUAUUUCCAUAUUCAAAUGCAAUCGAACUCCAGCAAGCUUAAGUGUGAUGGUAUUGUUACCGAUAUAUUUAAUCUUUACAUAUGCUCACAGGCUACAUUGAUUUACACGUUUAUUAGUGUUUUUUCUCUUCAUUUUAUCACUUCUUGUAUCAUGCUUUAUUGUCGUCAUGGUGACAUUAAUAUGCUGUGCGUAAACUAUAUGAUCUGUCGAGAUAUGAUACAAUAAAAGUUUCUUACAUGUUCAA
Molecule: long non-coding RNA, 3865 nt
Organism: Dreissena polymorpha
Lineage: Eukaryota; Metazoa; Mollusca; Bivalvia; Myida; Dreissenidae
Exons: 2
Source: RefSeq, a predicted model, not a curated record